This 465-nucleotide ribosomal RNA is filed under the name Vreelandella stevensii. Its description in RNAcentral is "partial 16S ribosomal RNA". It matches the Rfam family "Bacterial small subunit ribosomal RNA", at positions 338 to 795 of the family's 1533-position model. The record is from RNAcentral. Lineage: Bacteria; Pseudomonadati; Pseudomonadota; Gammaproteobacteria; Oceanospirillales; Halomonadaceae.
CCUACGGGUGGCAGCAGUGGGGAAUAUUGGACAAUGGGGGCAACCCUGAUCCAGCCAUGCCGCGUGUGUGAAGAAGGCCCUCGGGUUGUAAAGCACUUUCAGUGAGGAAGAACGCCUGGUGGUUAAUACCCAUCAGGAAAGACAUCACUCACAGAAGAAGCACCGGCUAACUCCGUGCCAGCAGCCGCGGUAAUACGGAGGGUGCGAGCGUUAAUCGGAAUUACUGGGCGUAAAGCGCGCGUAGGUGGCUUGAUAAGCCGGUUGUGAAAGCCCCGGGCUCAACCUAGGAACGGCAUCCGGAACUGUCAAGCUAGAGUGCAGGAGAGGAAGGUAGAAUUCCCGGUGUAGCGGUGAAAUGCGUAGAGAUCGGGAGGAAUACCAGUGGCGAAGGCGGCCUUCUGGACUGACACUGACACUGAGGUGCGAAAGCGUGGGUAGCAAACAGGAUUAGAUACCCGAGUAGUC